AGAGUUUGAUCCUGGCUCAGGAUGAACGCUGGCGGCGUGCUUAACACAUGCAAGUCGAACGAACCUUCGGGUUAGUGGCGGACGGGUGAGUAACGCGUGAGAAUCUGCCCUCAGGAGGGGGAUAACGGCUGGAAACGGCCGCUAAUACCCCAUAUGCCGAGAGGUGAAAUGAAUUUCGCCUGAGGAUGAGCUCGCGUCUGAUUAGCUAGUUGGUGUGGUAAAGGCUCACCAAGGCAUCGAUCAGUAGCUGGUCUGAGAGGAUGAUCAGCCACACUGGGACUGAGACACGGCCCAGACUCCUACGGGAGGCAGCAGUGGGGAAUUUUCCGCAAUGGGCGCAAGCCUGACGGAGCAACGCCGCGUGAGGGAUGAAGGCCUCUGGGCUGUAAACCUCUUUUAUCAAGGAAGAAGAUCUGACGGUACUUGAUGAAUAAACCACGGCUAAUUCCGUGCCAGCAGCCGCGGUAAUACGGGAGUGGCAAGCGUUAUCCGGAAUUAUUGGGCGUAAAGCGUCCGCAGGCGGUCUUGAAAGUCUGUUGUUAAAGCGUGGAGCUCAACUCCAUUUCAGCAAUGGAAACUAGAAGACUAGAGUGUGGUAGGGGCAGAGGGAAUUCCCGGUGUAGCGGUGAAAUGCGUAGAUAUCGGGAAGAACACCAGUGGCGAAGGCGCUCUGCUGGGCCAUAACUGACGCUCAUGGACGAAAGCCAGGGGAGCGAAAGGGAUUAGAUACCCCUGUAGUCCUGGCCGUAAACGAUGAACACUAGGUGUCGGGGGAAUCGACCCCCUCGGUGUCGUAGCCAACGCGUUAAGUGUUCCGCCUGGGGAGUACGCACGCAAGUGUGAAACUCAAAGGAAUUGACGGGGGCCCGCACAAGCGGUGGAGUAUGUGGUUUAAUUCGAUGCAACGCGAAGAACCUUACCAGGGUUUGACAUCCUGCGAAUCCCUUGGAAACUUGGGAGUGCCUUCGGGAGCGCAGUGACAGGUGGUGCAUGGCUGUCGUCAGCUCGUGUCGUGAGAUGUUGGGUUAAGUCCCGCAACGAGCGCAACCCACGUCUUUAGUUGCCAGCAUUAAGUUGGGCACUCUAGAGAGACUGCCGGUGAUAAACCGGAGGAAGGUGUGGAUGACGUCAAGUCAUCAUGCCCCUUACAUCCUGGGCUACACACGUACUACAAUGCUACGGACAAAGGGCAGCAAACUCGCGAGAGCUAGCAAAUCCCAUAAACCGUGGCUCAGUUCAGAUCGUAGGCUGCAACUCGCCUACGUGAAGGAGGAAUCGCUAGUAAUCGCACGUCAGCAUACUGCGGUGAAUACGUUCCCGGGCCUUGUACACACCGCCCGUCACACCAUGUAAGUUGGCCACGCCCGAAGUCGUUACUCCAACCCGCAAGGGAGGAGGAUGCCGAAGGUGGGGCUGAUGACUGGGGUGAAGUCGUAACAAGGUA
RNAcentral lists this ribosomal RNA (1444 nucleotides) under metagenome. RNAcentral's name for it is "bacterial SSU rRNA". It matches the Rfam family "Bacterial small subunit ribosomal RNA". The record is from RNAcentral.